UAUUUAUUCUACGCAAAAAAACAAAAACAAAAGAAAAAUGGCGGAUAGCAUUGUGCUGUGUUCUGCUGUUUAGUUAUAUUCCUUAGCCCAAUAAGGAACAUAUGAGUGUUACAUUAACACGUCAUUCUUGGGAGACGGGAUGCUGUUUAGGGUGAGGUGGAAGCUGGUGCGGUGGACGCUAAGGGUCAAAAGCGCAUGCGCGUUCUAUGACAUGCUAAAAUCACAGCGCUAUCCAGUGGCCUGACAUGACAACUACAGCUGACUGAAGGCGUCUUAGCGGUGCCGUCAAAAACGUGGAACUUUUCCUCAAUCAACAUCCGAAAAUUAAUGCCUGCAGUUUCCAAGCAGAACCAACUAAAACAAAGUUUCAAGUAACUUUUCAGCAAGAUAUAGGAGUUUCUUUUAAGCCAACAAUUCCUUUACAUUCGUGAAAAGUACUAGUUACUCUGAUAGAUUAUUUAACAUAUUUUUCUCAUGUUAGGAGUGAAAUAAUCUGCCAGUAAUAGCACUUUUUGAUCAAUAUCAAGGAAUUAUUGACUUAAAACAAGCUCCUAUAUAAUGCUGCAAUGUAACUUGUACGUUAGUUUUCUCUUGUCUCAAGUGUCCAGAGAUAUUUCCCUUGAAACAGACCAAAAAUACUUGGUAAGAUGUGUUUUUGCCGUGUUUACAGCUCCCUCUCAGGCAGAUUUGUGUGGAUGUCAGGGACAGAUGGUGAUCUGAGCCCCAGACCCAUCUGCUGGACCAGCUCAGCCUCUCUUACUCUGAGGAGAAAAGAGAAAGCAGAGCUUCCCACUGGAUGGAUAUUUAACCUCCUGUGAAUGACCUGCUCAAAUUUCACACAUGCAUAUGCAGAGGUCUCUGGUCACAAGCAAAGAGGUUUUUUUUGUUGUUUGUUUCCUUUUGGGAGACGUGAUCAAGUUUAGCUUUUUAUUUUUCCUGAGUUGCUUACAGAAAUAACUGCAAAAUCAGCAUUUUCUCAGUUAAAUGAGCCAAUAAAGUAACAGAAGAGCAAGAUUAGAUCUGGAUUCUGUGCAUAUCUCUGGAGCAGGGUUAGAUUGCAAGACUACAUCCCAAGUUUUAAACUUCUCACAUCUCAGUCCUUCUCGUUCUUUGUGACAGAUUCCUGCAUUUAUCUUUCUUUGCUCUAAUGCAAAAAACUGCACAUUUUUAGCAAAUGUAGCCAAAAACAUUAGGUUUAAGUUAUGCUAACUCCCACCUGCAGGGGGCAGUAUUUAUUUUAUGGUUCAGCAUUACUUGAUGCCAAGUUCUAGUCCGUGAUCGAUACGGCGAGGAACAAAAAGUCACACUUAACAUCUUACACAAGUGCAAAUAUUGCAAUAUAUUUCUAAAUUAGCUCUACAAAAAUUUUGAUUUUGAUUGGAAAAAUAUAUAUAUAUGAUCGCAAAAUCCCAAUGGCAUUGAUUAGUGUGAAAAGAUAUUUAUUAUUAUUUAAUUUUUACAAAGUAAUUAUCUAAUGCAGACACAGCUAUUUAUUAAUAUUGUAGCAGUUUGUUCUUGGGUUUUAUCAGCACAUUCUGGCGCAGCCGGCCCUUUAAGAUUGAAUAGAGCUAGAAACAGCGUUGUUCUUUUUCAGUCUCAGAAGCGAAUUUCAGUGAGGUUUAUUAAAGCAUUUUAAUAAAUGCUUGGUGGAGAACGUCUUCUCAAGCAGAUGCAGCAGGUGUCUGCAGGCUGCAGCUGCACAUUUCUUUAUUCAUUUCUUUUCUUUCUUCUCUCUUUCUGUGUUUUUUGUCAGUCUUUGUGUUUCUGUUUUUCUGUCUGCUUCUGUGUUUGUGUCUUUCUGCCUUAGUUUUUGGGUUUCUGUCUGUCAGUUUUUUUUCCCUCUUUCUUUCUUUAUGUCCUUCUUUCUUCCUCCCUUUAUGUUUCUGCCUUUAUGUCCGUGUUUCUGUCAGUUUUUCCUUCUUCCUGUGUUUCUGUCUGUCGUUCUGUCGCUAUGUUUUUGUAUUGUUCUGUCUUUCUGUGUUCUGUCUUUCUGCCUUUCCCUCUUUCUUCCAGUCUUUCUGGUUUUAUCUUUCUGUGUCUUUCUCUCCAUCUUUGUGUUCCAGUAGAGUGACUGAUUUCCCUCCAGAGUUGCGUAUCUCUCCAACUGUCUUCCCUCAGAUGACUGGUGAGACGCGUCUGAAGCUGCUUUGGUUCCGUUCCAGCAGCUUCCUCAGACGCUUGCCAGCGUUUCUGGGCCGAGCUGGUGGUCCUGAUAAUGGAAGGUGGUUCUGCAGGAAGGGGGGUGAGGGAGUGGCCCGCCGCCCGUGGACGUUUGAGCUCAGCGUGGGCUGAGUGGGUGUGGAGCGCGGUGGGCGCCGGGUGGGACACGCUGGAGGGGCGACAGCAGGAAAGGCCUGAAGUGUUCGGAAUGUUUCACAACCGGCCUCAUCUCCACUGCAGCGUCAGGAUGAGGGCGUCUGCUGCCGGUGUCACCGCUCAGACAGCCAGCAGCCAGAACACACACACACACACACACACACACACGCCAACAGACAUUCUCCAUAGUGUGACCCCUCACCGCCUUGGCAACGCUUACAGCGUUUAUAUCCUGUGAGUGGGCCAGCCAGCAGCGGAGUCACCGCCUUCACACAGGCGACGUUUUGUGGCUGCGAGCGAGAGAGCGGGCGAGAAAGACAUAGAGAGAGAGAGAGAGGGAGGGAAAGUCUCUGUUUGACACCUCUGAAAGGAAGAGGAAGAGGAAAGGGGGGGGGAGCGUACACAUGAUGGCACCUCUGGGUUCCUUUAAAGAACAUAUGAACUGUUCUACUCUGUUCUCAUGAUGCUGUGAAGAUUUUAUUUUUUAUUUUUGUUUUUGCUAAAUUGCUAAAAGCAGAUGUGCGUAAUAACAAUUUCAGUCAUUUUGUUGUGUUUAUAUUAUUAAAUGUGAAAACGUGUCAUCGUUCUCGGCAUUGAGAUUUAAAUAUGUUCCGUAGAGCUCAAAAUGAAAACCUCUUAAACCUUUUAGUGUUUACGGCUGGGCGUUUAUCGCGUCGUUUAUCAUUUAUCGCGAUACAUUACUUAUCGUGAUAAGACUUUGAUUUGUGGUCGUCACAAUAAAUUCUAACUAACGUUGUUUGCGUAUUGUCGGGUAUUUUUACUAUUUUUCUCCAAUGUUUGCUCAAUUCCAGCAUCAAUAAAUAUCAAUACACUUGAAAGUGUGAUUAAAUGCAGCGACUGUGUGCAGCUUGGUGAUACAAAUCGCACCGCUUCAUGUGACUGGUGUCGUAAAGAAUUAUUAUUACAAAUGGGAAGUGUUUGUGUCUGUGGGGCUGUAAAUGCUGCAUCAUCCAGUCACAGCCAUACAGUUACCUAAAAGAGAAGAAAUAGUUUUUCAUCAUAAUCACAAUAGUUUCACAAAUUAUUGUGACAAAACUUUAAGUGCAUAUCGCACUGAAUAUUAGUCAAAAAUCUGCUGUUUUAUUAUAGCUUCACUGUCCAUCAGAAAAGAAAUAAAAAUUUGAAGACCCAGUAAAACCUCGUCACUCUGCCCUAUUAUUAUCCAAAACUGGUAUUAAUAAUACAUUUUCAGAGAAUCCACAUACACCCUUUUGCAUGUUUUAUGUAUUUGUUUGUGAAGAAAAAAGCAACUUUUAAAACAAGAAAUUUCUUUUUUCAGAUUCAAAUCAAGUUAGAUUCUGAUAGAAGAAAAUCUUAUAAUCUUUUUGUCUUUUAUGUGACCAGCAAAGCACACAGAAACGAGGAAUAAUGAAGGAUGAAAUAAUUCAAGUCCAUUCAGUUUGUCUCCAUGGCGCCAAUCCACAACAAAUGUCACCUUGAGGCGUUUUCCAGAAAAAUCACUUCAGUUCAGUCCUACAAACAUUCCAAUUGAUCCCAGUAAUCAAACAGCGCAUCAAGCUCAAUUCAUUAUUCAAAGUAGUUUAAAUAGUUAAACCCGGCAGAUUGCAAUAAUCAUUGACUCAAAAUAGAAAUUGUUCAGUUGUGACUAAAGUGAAAAAAGGACUUUAUGAAUGACUAAGAUGUAGAUUUAAAAAAAAAAAAAAAUUGUAUUAAGUGAAACUGGACAUGUAAAUUUUGCAGACUGUAAAUAAGGUUUAAAAACCUGCCCAUCUGUGGAGGAAAACGUUAACGAAUAACUUUAACGGUUAGAAACAAAACAGUUCUGAUUGUUUUACGUAAAACAAUCUCAUUUCCAAACAAACUGUUUCUUCCAUCUCCCAGCAUUUUUUUCCCCUCAUUUCUGUAUUAGUCAAAGCAAAGGAUGAAAAUUUUGCCUUGACUUAAUGAGAAUAAUCUGCUAGCAUGAGAUGCUAUGACAAUCUGCACCACAAAACAAUAAAAAUAAAAAUACUAGUUAUAAACGACUGACAUCUACACAAUAUCAUUUUAUUAAGUGGCACUGGACAUAUGAAUUUUGCUAACUAAAUAGAAAAAAACUAAAUUCAAUUAUUCUGGUCAAGAAAUUGUCAACAAUGAAUAUUUUUUUAUUAAAAUUUGCGUUGGAGUCCUGUUAACGGUUAAAAACAAAACAGUUCUGAUUGAUUUUCACGUAAAAAAAAAAAAAAAAAAAAUCAAUUUCUAAACUAUAUUCACGUCCUGCGGCAAAAAUGUCUUCAUUUCAUUUUAGUCAAGGAAAAGGAUGAACCUUCCUCCUUGACUGGCGACAACAGGGAUAAUAACAAUAAGAUGUUACGACAAUCUGCACCAAAAAAAGGUUCAACCGUGACGUCACUUUGAGAUCUUUGCAAUUACUUGGCAUAAUUUAUUGUUGAAAUAAGGACCAAAUAAAGUCGUAACCCUAAACCAAAAAAAAAAAAAAAAAAAAAUCCCUUAAUGCUUCCACCGUCACUAUUAGUGCUCUUGCUUAAUAUGGCUUAACCCCAUAACUAACCUUUGCGUCACAAUAGAAGCAUUUGUGUGUGACUUAAUCAGACGUGUUGCAUAAGUAAUGGAAAAUUCAGGCAUCGCCGACGCGCCUCACUGGUUUUUAAUGCUGUGUGUGUUUCUCCUGAGCUGACUCGUGUGACAGAGGAGCUGCUGCUAUCCCUGGGCGUCAUAAAAAUCGCUGGUUUUCUCGGCGCGCGCGCACACACACACACACGCCCAUGCACGCUCACACACGUCACCGCGGGGAGGCGGCGAGCCACAGAAGAACAAGCGGAGUGCUUCGAGAUAAGACGUAGAGUCAUGCCUCUGCAGCGUGACCGUUACGUCACGCCUCCCCAUGCUGCACGGACACACUCGCCUAAUAUAGUCAGAGCAGCACACACACACACACACCCACGCACACACACGCACACACAGAUCUGAGUGUAGGUUAUUGUCUAGCUGCCAAAUUUCUAUCCGCCGUCCUUGGUUGGCUGCAAGCAUGUGUUUCCUCAAAGGAGUGUGUGUGCGCACGCGCGCGCGUGUGUGUAACUUCAGUGAAUGAAAUGACGUCGCUGUUACGUCUGUUCUUGCCCAUCAUGGGUUGAGAGUUUCCGUUUGGCCCGGACAGGUGCACGCAUGCCAAAGCCUCCUGUUUGUGUCUCGGUGUUGUCAUGCGAUUAUUAUCUUUUCACUCCAACCUUUGUGACUCGUCAGAGUAAGCAACCAAGUCACACGUGUAACCGGAGCCUAAAAGGGCCACGCUUAUCCGCUGCUUUUCUAACAAACGGCCUACUUAAAGCAUCAUGUUUUAACUGAACAGGAUCGUUGGUUGUCGAUAGACAUGAAAGGUUUCUAAAUCGUCCGAUGGAUUGAGACACAAACACGCAGAGAACGUGUUCUAGUUUUUUUUUUCCUCUGGCAUUUUAAAGUGGCAGUGUUACAAGUGAAGCUUCACAUCAUGUUAUGAUGUUAUUCACUCAUCAGAAACAUACGUGGAGUGCUGCUUUGAUUCCUUCAUGCACGUUUGAGAAAUCUUUUUAAUCUCCCAUGGCAACCAUUCAGUUGUGCAGAACCCCAGGUUUUACCUAGCUCCGCCUCCGAGGACAAAGCUCCGCCUAGAAACUGCAGUUUCCAAACUUCCAUGUUCCUUCCCGGCCUCGCCACUCCACAACCAAGCUCCUUCAGACUAGCUGGCAGCAAUUAGCAAACACCUGGUGGACCUGUGCAUCUGCUGAGCUUGUUAUAGGAGCUACUUCUCAGUACAACGCUGUGAAAAUAUUAUUAAAGGGUUAAUAGAGGAGCCAUGUGGAGAUGAUUUCUUGAAGGCAGAGAGUUUAAGAGACAGAGGCCCAAUUUCUAAGUUGAUUUUUUUUAAGUCAUAUUUGAUAUUUGGAGCAUUUUACAUAAUUAAUUGAUUGUUCUGUAAAGUGAUUCUAUGUGACUACACCUUUAAAAAUAUAUGCAAUCUUCUCUGAAAUUUUACAUCUAACAGCACAUCUCUGGAAAUAUAAAGCAAUGUUUUGUUUUGGUUUUUUAAAGCCAAUCAGUCUCACUCAUGAGAGAAAUCCAUCAUGCCUUCAUAUGACUUCUUUCCUGACGCUUCACUGCGUUACCUAACAAUAGCGUGGAAACUUACUGCGGAAUGUCAGUGCUUGUGUUUCUGUAUCCCCCUCACAGCGACUCCCACAAUCUCUCCAACAAUGUUUACUUGGAUAGAUCUAGUGAAACCGCUGCAGCUAAGACAAUAGGUGGUUGAGAAAGGUUGAAAACACACACACACACACACCAGAGGACACUUGCUGUCUUCAAAUCUUCUCAGUUUCACACCCAGCCUCACGAUUGAUUGGCAGAUGGUGAUUCUUACAUUUCAAGGAAUCCAGCCUCUGCUCUCGGUCUUCUACGCUUUCCUGCCGUUUUAAUUCCUUGACAUCAUUUGUGUGUGUGAGGGUGUGUGUGUGUGUGUGUGUGUGUGUCACCGGUGUCUCUAUGGUCAGCUAAUAAACUGGCCCCUCAAGCCGACCUGGUGGGAUUCCCAGCCGGCCCGGCUGCCUGAGUUCACACCUUUUUGUUCACAGGAAUCUCAGGAAUCCCCAGCUUCCUUUCCACCGCAGUCUCCAUUGUGUGUGUGUGUGUGUGUGGGUGUGUGUGUGUGUGUGACAACAUGAAGGAAAGGCCCCCGCCUGUGUCGUGCGUGUGUGUUGAAACACAUCUCCGCCCUUGUAUCCACCCAGAGAAUGCAAGCACGCAGUGUUCAAGCCUUGUGCCCACAAUAGACUGAGUCACAGACUAAAACUGGUCCACUCCUUACUUUCUGAGCAAAUUCACUUUUCAGGGACCAACGUAGCGAUGCUCAUCGAUCCGUAUCAAAGCGCGGUCGAUGGGUCAUACAAGCAUUGUGCUCCAGAUUUUUGAAAAUGCCACAUGCAAAGGAAACGCAGUGUUGCAUUUUCUUCAAACUACUGUAUGGUGUAAAUGCUGAAGUAUCUGAAAAAUGAGGAAAAUUUGAAGUUAGACGUUGACCUCUGGUCAUAUGUAAGAUUAUUUUAAUAUUAUAGGUUAAAAUGAAUGACUCACUUUUUUAAAAUAAUUUUUUAGCAGUGACAUCAUAGAUAUUGAGUGAUGUUCCCUAUGAUGUCACUCAUCGUCUCCAACCUCUAAAGGUCAUGUUAACAAAUAAUCCAAAUUAACAUUUACAAAAUAAAUAUUUGUAGCUAGUUCAUACAAAAAUGUAGUUUGGUACGUUACUAUGUUGAUUUUAUAAAAUUUGUAAUGGUGUAAUUGCUUAUUUCUGCAUAAAUACUAUCAGCUGAAAAUGACUAAUUUGAAUUUGACUAUAUUUUAUCACUAAUGUCAACAAUAUUGAUUUAAUAUCACAUCAUUAAAUCAAUAGCGUUCACUUAAAGUUGAAGUAAUUAAAUCUAUUCAGUUACAUUCAUUAUCACUUUAUUGACAUGAUGUUUUUUAAGUGGGUAAUUGUCAUUUUUCUGAAUGUAUGACAGUGCAAAAGUAUCACCCUAUCCAGAGUUUGUAAAUAUUUCUAAUUAAACGCUGAAGAGAAAUAGUUAGAGACAAUUAAAACACAACCCGUGACUAAAAAGGUCUGAUUAUAGGAUGCACUUCUAUAUUGGAUUUUGUACAUCUGACCCCAGAGGAAUGCCUCACCCAUCAGGAAUCUCACCACACGACGCUGCUGCAUAGUCAUACUUCACUUUAACAAGAAACAUUGUGGUGUUUCAAUAUCCCAGGAUCUCGUUACACCCUUAUUAAAUACCUAAAACUGCAGUUGAAUAGACAUAAAAAGGGCAAAAAUGCAAUUAAACUUUACGGCUUCUUUGAGGGCUAAUGGCCUCCACGUAUGCGGCGCCCGUUCAGCCUCUGCGCCGCGCGCCGCCCUGUCGGCUAAAUGUUUUUCACUCAAAUGACCACCGAGUUGUGAUGCUCUCAGCUGCUGCCGUUUUCUCUCCCUCCAGUUGCUGCUGCGCCUGCAGUGUGCAUAAAAGGGUUGAACGAAGCGCUAAUCACGAAUGGCUAAGCUAACCGCUCGCUAAAAGUAACCGCUCAUUUAGGCUAACCCAAGAACUUUUCCCGAGAACAGGCGUUUGCUUUUUUUAAACAUUUCUUAACGAUCGCAUCAAAACAUGGCAGCGAUGUAAUGUAACGUUCAGAGGUCCUCAACUCCUAUUUGCAGCUUUUUUGGAAUAGUUUUCAUGCUAGCUGUUAAAAGCUUGCCGGUGUAGAAAGCGCCGUGGUUAGAAAGGAAAGGCUGAUCCAGUCACUGCAGAGAUAAAACGUGAUUGUUUCAGUUCAGAGGAAUUCAGCAGAAGAAAUCUUGAAUUCAUGUGUCGCAGAUUAGCCGCCACAACAAGUUUUAAAUGGUCUGUGGAUAUCUUAAAACUUUUUAUUUUUUUAGAAAUGUAACUGGAGUUCAACCAGUUUCUGCCAGCCGAGUUAUAAUUUCAGCGCUGAAGUGUUGCUGUCCGUCAGCAUGUCUGGAGUCAGUUAGGCUCUGAUUCAUCAAGAAUGCUUAGUGCUUCACUUUAUAACCAUUCAUUUUCUGUGAAUCAUUCAGACCAGCUCACUCUCUCUCCAGACAGAACGAAUCCACAUCCAUCUGCCGAUACGCCGCUGAGGGCCACAGUCUACGGUCACUGCAGUCUUGAAAAGUUCAAAUUGGAUUUUAGGUCUUUGUCAAGGUCUGGAUACAGCAGGAGAAAAACAAAUGCGGACAGAGAAUUUCCAGACUGCACAUCUUUUUUCCCCCCCAAAAUCUUAAAGAUAAAUGUUGGAGUUUGUGAAAUAUGAAUUCCUUGAUUUAUUCAUAGAUGAUGUUGCUUUUCUUUGAUGAACUUUUAAUCCGACUCGUUAAUCGUUUCGGGUUUGGAGUCACUGAUUGAAAAAUCAGAAAAGGGAAUCGCCUGUCUCUUAAGUCAGGAUGUUCAACUUGACCUGCUAGUUCUGGUUAAGAUGUGAAAAAGGUCUGCCAAGUGUUGACACUGUGUGCUUUUAAUAUCUGUAAGGAAAAUGAAGACAUCAAAGCUUACAAACUGUCUUUCAUGUAGAACAAUCCAACCCAUAUUUGACUUAAAUUUUAAAACAGAUUAAUUACAUUUCCUCUUUCAUAUGUCAAAAUCAACGUUUGUUUAGUGGUUUGGCAAAUAUACAGAUAAAAAACUUUGUUAAAGGAUUUGUACUCAAAUAUUCAGAAUGUUAGACUGUAAGUAAUUCUAAAGUUUGAAAUUGAAUUUGUUUUAUGCACUGGACUUAUUUUAUCAUCAUCAUUGAUGUGGAAAAAAAAACAGCAACAACAAACCAUUGUAAAGAUCAGCUCACAUAGUCAUAGUCAGACAUAUGUCAUCUGCAUAAAGUUUUAUCCCAAUAUUUAUUUUUGUACACUGAAUAAUAAAAUUGUGAACUUCUCAGCUUGGCUUAUUACCUCAUUCUGGGUUAAUAAGAUCACUGAGUCCUGGAAAUGUCUCCUAACAUUUCCCCUGUGGACAUUUAUUCCCAUUUAGCUCCUCAGAUGAGACCAGAUGAGUCUAUCUUGAUUGAAGACUUAAGAAAGCAUUUGGUCGCAUUAUUUUUAGACAACCUUUGACCCUAAUGAUUGCCCUCAGGAGUGACAAUGCAGAAUAGCAACAUGUGCAUAUAGGUCAAAUAUUGCUCAAUUCCACUUGCUACAUGACUCACAGAAGUUAUUUAAAUAGAUCCGAAAGGACCCUGACAAAGGCCGGAAUCUCUCUCCACUAAAACACUGGUGUGUAACUUUGUGUUUGCACACCACAAUGUGUGCAAUGGGAGCAUAACAGGGGCACAUAACAGCGUGUCCUUUGGUGAGUCACAUGGCCUCUUGUGAGUAACAAAUCAGUUAUGCGAUUCCUUAAGUUCAAGCCUGCCAUUGGACGCUGCUGCCCUGCCCUAGUUUUGGAUCCCGUGCCAGCAGGGAGGAGGGUGUAAAACGGCGAGGCAGGGUGGGACCGCCGCCCGCGGGUGUGGCUGGCGGACAUGGCGUGGGGGAAUAGAAUUGGGGCGAAAAGGCAGGAUGUAGGUAAGAACCUGGAUUGCGGUCGUGGCGAGCUAACUUACGGGGGGGUAAGUUAAGGUCGCCGCAAAGAGUCAAGAGGAACCGCUUGAAUUCUUAGGUACUUUCUUUGACAAACCUGUGGUUAUAAUGAGGUUUCUCACUUGCUCAUGAGGCAGUCCAUUCUUGACAACCUGAGUACUUUCUCUUUGUGGUCUAUGUAAUCGACGAAGGAGCCCAGACGUGAUGCACGUAAGAGUGUUUGUUUAUGUUGGUGAGUCUUGAAGUCAUAUAGACCCUUCUGCCUCCUUCUUCUAAAGAUUGGUCAACUCUUACUAAAGAUGCCCCAGACUUCUAGCAGGGGGGAGUUUCCUUUUUUUUAACACACAAGGGAUGCACACCCAUGCACAUUUACUCCACCUCCCUCUCCACCCCUCCUUCCUUCCUCUUACUGCCGUUUUUUCUGAAUGGUCCUGUCCUCUUCCUAACCUCAACCGAAUGCUCUGUAAGGAGAGACUGCCCUCCGUGUUAGGCUCAGCCCCCCAACAGUGCAGCUAUAAGAGAGAGUGCUGUCGGACUUGUGUGUGUGAGAGCUGGACGGUGUCAGUCAGUCAGACAGUACUUUUCAUUUGGUUGCAGAGGUGGGAGGGUUUAUGGUAGGGAGGGAGGGUGAGAGGAAGAGAAAGGGAGAGCACUGUGAAACAUGUGAUAGUGCAACUCUGGCCGGGGCUUGUAGGGAGUUUAACGGCUGUGGUGUCUCCAGAGCUCUGGGAAAGCACCUUUAGCCCAGAGGGAGCCUCUCAAACUGUGAGAAAAAUUGUGUGCGCAAGACAGAGAGAGGGGAGGGGGGGAUAGAAAGUGAGAGCCGGUUAUGCAGCGCACUGCCGCUGUCACUUUAAGUCUGUUACUGAUUACACUCAGAAGAAUGCAAGCGGGAGGAGGAAAUGACAGGAAAAAAGAGUGUGGAUGAAAUCUUUUAGGGAGUUACGAGUGAAGUUUCGCGCAACUUGCCGUCACAGUUACAGACAGUGACGUGGGUGAGAAGUUGUUACCCAAUAGUGGGUCUCUAUCUCGCUCGCUCUCCUUCGUCUGUGUGUGUGUGUGUGUGUGCUGGAGGCAAGCAGAGUUAAAGACGCAAGGAUCCCUUCACGAAGAGCGAAGAACACCCAGAGACACCGAGAUUGGAGGGAGGAUGAGGAGCUGGGGGGAGAUUGAGGGGGGUUCCCUCAUUCCAAAGUCAGCACCAGGAGGAAACUCCCACCCAGACGGGAGGCCACUUCUGCAACAACUUUUCUGAAAAUAUAACCGAACAUCCAUGUGACCACAGCAGUUUCCAAGAAAGAUGGCGUCCGCAGAAGUGUGCUGUCUCCCGUCUGUCGCCUCGCUGCUCUCUGGUGACUGUCAGCUGCUCAGUAGGCAGUGUAGAUCCUGUGUAGCAAUCAGCAGCUACAUCUGGCUACUGGGUCUCUGACGGCUCCGCCCGCUUCCCGGUCCUUCCGUCGGCCCGUGGCACGUUCCCGCUCCAUCACUGGUCGGGGGGCCCGUCCAGUGACAGGAUGUUCUCUGUGUCACAACUCCACCAGGGCCCGUUAUCACAUUUGUUCUUCUUCCUGUUUUGUCAAUCUCAUUUGGCAUCUCUGAGUUUCUGACUUCUGAUUGAAUUCCGUUUACUUUGAUUAAGCUACAAAUGGAUACAUUUCAUUAAAAUUGUGUUGAAGAAUGCCUAAAAAGCCACACUAGGGAGAUAUUUGCUUUGUCCUGAACCUGGCAUACAAUGUAGAUUCCUGUGUGGUUCAAUUCUACAGCUACAUUGUCUGCUGGGUUUCUGGCUAGCAAUAUAAGCUUCUGUGACAUGAAGGUCAUCUUUACUCCAUAAGGUAAGAAUUGAUCUACUGUGCUGCCAAAAAGUAUUUGCCCCCUUUAAGAUUUCUUCUGUUUUUGUUGUUUUGUGACAUUUAAAUGUUUCAGAUUGUCCAACAAAUGUUAAAGUGGCAGUGUUGUGUUUUUUCCAGACACAUAAUGGCAUAUCAUA
This is a long non-coding RNA of Xiphophorus hellerii (green swordtail), 12377 nucleotides long. RefSeq lists it as uncharacterized. The record is from RefSeq and is a predicted model, not a curated record. NCBI's taxonomy places the organism in Eukaryota, Metazoa, Chordata, Actinopteri, Cyprinodontiformes, Poeciliidae. The transcript is spliced from 3 exons.